GAUGAACGCUAGCUACAGGCCUAACACAUGCAAGUCGAGGGACCUGCGCACGGUUGAGUAACACGUAUCCAACCUGCCCUUUACUCGGGGAUAGCCUUUCGAAAGAAAGAUUAAUACCCGAUGUACAGGAUGGGGAUGCGUUCCAUUUGGUUGUGGGUGAGGUAACGGCUCACCAAGCUUUCGAUGGAUAGGGGUUCUGAGAGGAAGGUCCCCCACAUUGGAACUGAGACACGGUCCAAACUCCUACGGGAGGCAGCAGUGAGGAAUAUUGGUCAAUGGGCGUUAGCCUGAACCAGCCAAGUAGCGUGAAGGAUGAAGGCUUAUGGGUCGUAAACUUCUUUUAUAUAAGAAUAUGUAUUAUAUGAAUAAGGAUCGGCUAACUCCGUGCCAGCAGCCGCGGUAAUAC
RNAcentral lists this ribosomal RNA (406 nucleotides) under uncultured bacterium. RNAcentral describes it as "partial 16S ribosomal RNA". It matches the Rfam family "Bacterial small subunit ribosomal RNA", at positions 28 to 526 of the family's 1533-position model. The record is from RNAcentral.